This 1054-nucleotide ribosomal RNA is filed under the name uncultured bacterium. RNAcentral's name for it is "bacterial SSU rRNA". It matches the Rfam family "Bacterial small subunit ribosomal RNA", at positions 336 to 1393 of the family's 1533-position model. The record is from RNAcentral.
CUCCUACGGGAGGCAGCAGUGAGGAAUAUUGGUCAAUGGACGAGAGUCUGAACCAGCCAAGUAGCGUGAAGGAUGACUGCCCUAUGGGUUGUAAACUUCUUUUAUAUGGGAAUAAAGUUUUCCACGUGUGGAAUUUUGUAUGUACCAUAUGAAUAAGGAUCGGCUAACUCCGUGCCAGCAGCCGCGGUAAUACGGAGGAUCCGAGCGUUAUCCGGAUUUAUUGGGUUUAAAGGGAGCGUAGGUGGACAGUUAAGUCAGUUGUGAAAGUUUGCGGCUCAACCGUAAAAUUGCAGUUGAUACUGGCUGUCUUGAGUACAGUAGAGGUGGGCGGAAUUCGUGGUGUAGCGGUGAAAUGCUUAGAUAUCACGAAGAACUCCGAUUGCGAAGGCAGCUCACUGGACUGCAACUGACACUGAUGCUCGAAAGUGUGGGUAUCAAACAGGAUUAGAUACCCUGGUAGUCCACACAGUAAACGAUGAAUACUCGCUGUUUGCGAUAUACAGUAAGCGGCCAAGCGAAAGCAUUAAGUAUUCCACCUGGGGAGUACGCCGGCAACGGUGAAACUCAAAGGAAUUGACGGGGGCCCGCACAAGCGGAGGAACAUGUGGUUUAAUUCGAUGAUACGCGAGGAACCUUACCCGGGCUUAAAUUGCAAAUGAAUAAUCUGGAAACAGGUUAGCCGCAAGGCAUUUGUGAAGGUGCUGCAUGGUUGUCGUCAGCUCGUGCCGUGAGGUGUCGGCUUAAGUGCCAUAACGAGCGCAACCCUUAUCUUUAGUUACUAACAGGUCAUGCUGAGGACUCUAGAGAGACUGCCGUCGUAAGAUGUGAGGAAGGUGGGGAUGACGUCAAAUCAGCACGGCCCUUACGUCCGGGGCUACACACGUGUUACAAUGGGGGGUACAGAAGGCAGCUACCUGGUGACAGGAUGCUAAUCCCAAAAGCCUCUCUCAGUUCGGAUCGAAGUCUGCAACCCGACUUCGUGAAGCUGGAUUCGCUAGUAAUCGCGCAUCAGCCAUGGCGCGGUGAAUACGUUCCCGGGCCUUGUACACACCGC